Molecule: ribosomal RNA, 486 nt
Filed under: uncultured bacterium
Lineage: Bacteria
Description: partial 16S ribosomal RNA
Rfam family: Bacterial small subunit ribosomal RNA
Source: RNAcentral
AUUGAACGCUGGCGGCAUGCUUUACACAUGCAAGUCGAGCGGCAGCGCGGGGGCAACCCUGGCGGCGAGCGGCGAACGGGUGAGUAAUGCAUCGGAACGUAUCCUCGGGUGGGGGAUAACCCAGCGAAAGUUGGGCUAAUACCGCAUGAGCUCUGAGGAGGAAAGCGGGGGACCUGCGAGGGCCUCGCGCUGGAGGAGCGGCCGAUGUCCGAUUAGCUAGUUGGUGGGGUAAAGGCUUACCAAGGCGACGAUCGGUAGCUGGUCUGAGAGGAUGAUCAGCCACACUGGGACUGAGACACGGCCCAGACUCCUACGGGAGGCAGCAGUGGGGAAUUUUGGACAAUGGGGGCAACCCUGAUCCAGCCAUGCCGCGUGAGUGAAGAAGGCCUUCGGGUUGUAAAGCUCUUUCGGACGGAACGAAAUGGGCGGGACUAAUACUCCUGUCUGAUGACGGUACCGUAAGAAGAAGCACCGGCUAACUACGUG